RNAcentral lists this long non-coding RNA (370 nucleotides) under Nicotiana benthamiana. RNAcentral describes it as "long non-coding RNA (NBEN_LNC018026)". The record is from RNAcentral. Lineage: Eukaryota; Viridiplantae; Streptophyta; Magnoliopsida; Solanales; Solanaceae.
CUUGUCAUACGCCUUCUCCAAGUCGAUAAGCAUCAUGUGCAGGUCCUUCUUCUUAUCCCUGAACUACUCCACCAGCCUCCUGACAAGGUAGAUAGCUUAUAUAGUGGAGCGACCCGGCAUGAAACCGAACUGGUUCACAAAUAUAAAUAUCAUCUCCCUCACCCUCGCCUCGAUCACCCGCUCUCAAACCUUCAUGGUGUGACUUAUUAAUUUGAUACCCAUAUAUUUGUUGCAGCACUGGAUGUCCCCUUUGUUCUUGUACAAGGGCACCACUGUACUCCACCUUCACUCCCCGGCAUCCUUUUGGUCCUGAAGAUCGCAUUGAACAACCUGGAGAACCACUCCACUCCUGACCUAUCCAUGCAUUUCC